AAAAGGGAGAUCCCUUUAGGAUGCAACGAAGAAAACAUUAACCAAUUUGAUUAAGCCCACCUAAAUUGCCAACUUUUAUUGUUUGUUGUGUCAUAUUAAAUCCGAGUAGGUGUCGAAGCUCUCUCAGGUAGUAGUUUGAAGCAAAGAAAAAUGCAAUGGGGACGGGAGUGGUAGAGUGUGACGCCAGUUAUGUAUGGGAAAUUCCAGCUUGGUGGAGAUUUUUCUGAGGAUUAUUUAGUUUUAGCAUCAAGGAACCAAAAAGUCCUGAAAAAAAUUAUUGAUUAUUACCC
This 290-nucleotide long non-coding RNA is filed under the name Malus domestica (apple). RNAcentral's name for it is "long non-coding RNA (MDOM_LNC018355)". Lineage: Eukaryota; Viridiplantae; Streptophyta; Magnoliopsida; Rosales; Rosaceae. The record is from RNAcentral.